Molecule: long non-coding RNA, 713 nt
Organism: Salvelinus fontinalis (brook trout)
Lineage: Eukaryota; Metazoa; Chordata; Actinopteri; Salmoniformes; Salmonidae
Exons: 2
Source: RefSeq, a predicted model, not a curated record
UCUCGCACUGAUCUGCGUAUGUGCAGGUGGUCAAAUCAAAUGCACUCCUUUGAUAUAAAGUUGUUUGACAAAUUAAAACGUGUCAGUUUCACAAGGUUGGAGUAGUAACAUAUUCAACUACUUAACGUUAAGACAUUGGCUCGAAUCUAGGUGGUGCCUUGAGUGAGAGAAUGAACUACUAAGGAAGAAUUUCACUUCUCACUGACUUCUAAAAUCUGGUCUGCUUCGCAAGCGUCCCUGCAAGUCUAGCCAAGUGGCGCCUCUGGGUUUAGAAACUCUGUGGUGUAGCCAUAACAUUACCUUUCCAACCAGUGAUGGCCAAAGAGGAGAAAUGCCUCUGCUGUCUGGACUGGGCACAGGGACUGCUAGUAGAGAUUGAGAGUGCAUGCCUCCUUGCCCCAGCUUUGGCUUCCACACUGACAGAGGGAUAAUGUUACUUACCUCCUUCUUCCACAUGUCGAACUAGAAUUGGAGGAAGCAGCCCAGACCAGAGGGUCCCAGAGCACAGAUGUCCUACAGCCUGAAGGAGUUGGCCAUGCGACCUGAGCAGCUGGGACCAGAGAACCCAUUGGUGCUGCUGGCGUGUGUCUGAUGGGCCCUACGUGGGGUUACUGGAGGAUGAGGAGUCACCUUUAAUAUUAAAUGUUUCAAUAAUCAAAAAUAUAACAUCUUUCUGUACAUCCUUGUCAUUAAAUGCAUGUUCUAUUCAGAUA